RNAcentral lists this ribosomal RNA (414 nucleotides) under uncultured microorganism. Its description in RNAcentral is "bacterial SSU rRNA". It matches the Rfam family "Archaeal small subunit ribosomal RNA", at positions 459 to 872 of the family's 1478-position model. The record is from RNAcentral.
CAGCAGCCGCGGUAAUACCGGCGGCCCGAGUGGCGGUCACUAUUAUUGGGCUUAAAGCGUCCGUAGCCGGGGUGGGAAGUCCUCCGGGAAAUCUGGCCGCUUAACGGUCAGAAUGCCGGAGGAUACUCCCAGCCUAGGGAGCGGGAGAGGCCGAGGGGAUUCCCGGAGUAGGGGGGAAAUCCUAUAAUCCCGGGAGGACCACCUGUGGCGAAGGCGCUCGGCUGGAACGCGUCCGACGGGGAGGGACGAAGGCCAGGGGAGCAAACCGGAUUAGAUACCCGGGUAGUCCUGGCUGUAACCGAUGCGGACUUUGUGUCGGACAAGCUAUGAGCUUGUCCGGUGCCGGAGGGAAACCGUUAAGUCCGCCGCCUGGGGAGUACGGCCGCAAGGCUGAAACUUAAAGGAAUUGGCGGG